UUCCUUCUCUCGCAUAUUAACAGGUCUUGCUGAUAUUAAAAACCUAAGACCAUUCUCUCUGAUCUUCCUUCCCUGGCUCUGUCUCUCUGUGUCAUCAGAGCUUGAGUACCUGGAUCUCUAGCUAUCACGAUCCGCAAAAAUGCCUCUCAGACUUGAAAUAAAGAGGAAACUUGCUCAAAGAUCAGAAAGAGUAAAAUCUGUGGAUCUACAUCCAACUGAACCAUGGAUUCUAGUGAGUUUGUAUUCAGGGACUGUUUGUAUCUGGAACUACCAGUCACAGACCAUGGCGAAAUCUUUUGAGGUCACAGAGUUACCAGUUAGAUCAGCAAAGUUCGUUGCACGAAAGCAGUGGGUUGUUGCUGGAGCAGAUGACAUGUUUAUCCGUGUAUACAACUACAAUACAAUGGAUAAGAUUAAAGUGUUUGAGGCACAUACAGACUACAUUAGAUGUGUGGCUGUCCAUCCUACCCUUCCAUAUGUGCUGUCGUCAUCUGAUGAUAUGCUCAUAAAGCUUUGGGAUUGGGAGAAAGGUUGGGUCUGUACUCAGAUAUUUGAGGGACACUCUCAUUAUGUGAUGCAAGUGACAUUCAAUCCAAAAGACACAAAUACUUUUGCAAGUGCAUCCCUUGAUCGCACCAUAAAGAUUUGGAAUCUUGGCUCACCUGACCCAAAUUUUACACUGGACGCCCAUCAAAAAGGAGUAAAUUGUGUUGAUUACUUUACUGGUGGUGAUAAACCUUAUCUAAUCACAGGUUCUGAUGAUCACACUGCUAAGGUCUGGGACUAUCAAACCAAAAGUUGUGUCCAAACACUAGAAGGCCACACUCACAAUGUAUCUGCAGUAUGUUUUCAUCCUGAACUGCCUAUAAUUAUUACAGGUUCUGAGGAUGGGACAGUUCGUAUAUGGCAUUCCACAACUUACAGGCUUGAAAACACAUUGAAUUAUGGUCUUGAAAGAGUUUGGGCUGUUGGAUACAUGAAAGGCUCACGCCGUAUUGUGAUUGGUUACGAUGAAGGAACCAUUAUGGUCAAAAUUGGUCGAGAAGAACCUGUUGCUAGUAUGGAUAACAGUGGGAAGAUUAUAUGGGCCAAGCACAAUGAAAUUCAAACUGUGAACAUUAAGAGUGUGGGAGCAGAUUUUGAGGUUACUGAUGGAGAAAGAUUGCCUUUGGCUGUCAAGGAGUUGGGAACAUGUGAUCUUUAUCCACAAAGUUUAAAGCACAAUCCCAAUGGGAGAUUUGUUGUUGUCUGCGGAGAUGGUGAGUACAUCAUAUAUACAGCUUUGGCCUGGAGAAACAGAUCAUUCGGUUCAGCAUUGGAAUUUGCUUGGUCAUCGGAUGGAGAGUAUGCUGUUAGAGAAAGUACAUCAAAGAUAAAAAUUUUCAGUAAAAAUUUCCAGGAAAAGAAGAGCAUUCGACCAACAUUUUCUGCUGAGCGUAUUUUUGGAGGGACUUUAUUGGCGAUGUGUGCAAAUGACUUUAUAUGUUUUUAUGAUUGGUCUGAAUGCAGGUUGAUUAGGCGAAUUGAUGUUACUGUAAAAAACCUUUAUUGGGCUGAUAGUGGUGAUUUGGUGGCAAUUGCUAGUGAUACAUCAUUCUACAUUCUCAAAUACAACCGCGACCUAGUUUCAUCUUACUUGGAUAGUGGAAGACCCGUUGAUGAGCAAGGUGUUGAGGAUGCCUUUGAGCUUCUCCAUGAAACCAAUGAACGUGUCAGAACUGGCUUAUGGGUUGGGGAUUGCUUUAUCUAUAACAACUCUUCCUGGAGACUUAAUUAUUGCGUUGGAGGAGAGGUAACCACAAUGUAUCAUUUGGACCGCCCAAUGUACUUGUUGGGGUAUCUUGCUAAUCAGAGUCGGGUGUAUCUAAUAGACAAGGAAUUCAAUGUUAUGGGGUACACUCUACUACUUAGCUUAAUUGAGUACAAGACUCUAGUGAUGCGUGGAGACCUGGAAAGAGCCAAUGAACUUUUACCUUCAAUUCCUAAAGAGCAACAUAACAGUGUGGCUCGUUUCUUGGAAUCACGAGGUAUGGUAGAGAAUGCUCUUGAGGUAGCUACAGAUCCUGAUUACAAAUUUGAGCUAGCUAUACAGCUUGGCAGAUUGGAGAUUGCCAAGGAAAUUGCCACUGAAGUUCAGAGUGAGUCAAAGUGGAAGCAGUUGGGAGAAUUAGCUAUGUCUACCGGAAAGUUAGAAAUGGCUGAGGAAUGUAUGAAGCGGGCAACAGACUUGAGUGGGCUGUUGCUCUUGUAUUCUUCCUUAGGAGAUGCUGAAGGGAUUUCAAAACUUGCAUCUGUCGCAAAGGAGCAAGGAAAGAACAAUGUUGCCUUCCUUUGUUUGUUUAUGCUGGGCAAAUUGGAAGAUUGCCUCCAGCUUUUGGUGGAAAGCAAUCGUAUACCCGAGGCUGCUCUGAUGGCACGAUCCUAUCUUCCAAGCAAGGUUUCAGAGAUUGUAGCAAUUUGGAGAAAAGAUCUCAACAAGGUUAACCCAAAGGCUGCUGAAUCUUUGGCUGAUCCUGAUGAGUAUCCAAAUAUGUUUGAUGAUUGGCAAGUGGCUUUAUCUGUCGAAUCUAAAGUUACAGAGACGAGGGGUGUAUAUCCUCCUGCGGGGGAGUACAUAAACCAUGCUGAUAAAUCUCAAAUGACACUUGUUGAGGCUUUCAGAAACAUGCAAAUAGAAUCUCUUGAAAAUGGUGACUAUGAUCAUGAGGCUGCAGAACAAAAUGGAGAGGAACAGAUAGCAGAAGAACACAAUGGAGAAGAAGGGAGCCAAGAGGAGGCUGUUGUGGUGGAUGCUGAUUCUACUGAUGGUGCAGUACUUGUCAAUGGAAAUGAGGCUGAGGAAGAGUGGGGUACGAAUAAUGAAGGAACCCCGUCAGCCUAAAAGCAGUUGGUUGGGGCAGUGUGAAAAUCCAAAUUUUGUCUCUGGUGAUUAAUUGAUUCUACAGUGCCAUCUGUAAAUCACAUGCACAAAUUAUUUUUGCUACCAACCACAAACUGCUACUACCACCACCUAUUGUUAACAUCCAUUCUUUUCCCAUGUGCUACUGAUGGUAGCAUUGGUGUGGUGGCAGGCAUGUAUGCUGCCAAAACAAAUUACAAGUGUUAGUUAAUAGUCUGGAGUGCUUACACCACAUCACUAAGUCUUCUUUCAAAGACGAUGGUUCUAGCUGUAUUAGUAGGUGAGAAAAGCUUUUCUUAGAUAUGAUGGCUAGGUUUGAGUAGUGAAGAGCAGAAUUUGAAUUGGGCAUGAGUGCAUGCAACCACUCUGUAUUUGGUGGUAAAUACUGGAGAAAUUCAACAGGAAGUGAGACAUUACCGGAGGUUGGACAUUGUGACUGUCAUAUAAUUGGAAAUUUUGUAUACCAUUAGGUGUGUGACUUUGGAUGAUUAUGCCAUCUAUGGAGUAGCAUUUCAGCUCCAUUUGUAACUGAGGUGGUUAUUUUUAUUGUACAAUGAGCCAUAAGCAUCCACACUGACUUGGGUGCACACUAGAUAGAGUUGACAUUUAUAUUUUUUUUGUAGAGCAUUUCAAAGGUUGAUGGAAUUUAUUUGUUUAUUUUUGGUUGAUGUUCA
This is an RNA transcript of Manihot esculenta (cassava), 3573 nucleotides long. It is a transcript of the gene named coatomer subunit beta'-2, with no coding region annotated. The transcript has 25 exons. The record is from RefSeq and is a predicted model, not a curated record. NCBI's taxonomy places the organism in Eukaryota, Viridiplantae, Streptophyta, Magnoliopsida, Malpighiales, Euphorbiaceae.